GUUAUACAUAGAAAUGAUGUUCUUUGUCAGCAGUAGCAAGUUUUUGUCCCUUCUAAAAAGUUGAAAGUUCAAGUAAUGGUUUGGUGUUUUGAUGUACAUACUGAAAUCAGGGUUGUCCUUAAAUUGCCUUCCAGCUAUGUAAGAAGUCCAACUAAAGAUUAGCAAAGCAUUUUAGGCCAACAAGUAGACUUUCGGCUCAUGUAGAACCAAAACCUUUUGCGUCUAAGCAGGCUCCCUUAUUGUUUGAGUUCAGUCACCUUUAUAUCUUGUGGAGUAGAAAAAACAUAUUCUAAUGGAACAUUUGCGGGCCUAUUAUAGGCCAGAGUUUCAUCUACAAUGGCUCUGCUACACAUUCAGCUUGAUAUGCCUCUACCAGUGGGUCUAAAAUCUGUCAUAAAGGAGUAUUCUUGUUGCCAGAAUAUUUCCAUGUCUAUUGUAGACCAAGGUUCUCCAAUCUGGCCCUCCAGAUUUUGCUAAUCUACAAUUCCCAUAAUUAUUUGAAAGAAAUGGCCAGAGAGUCAUGGGAGUUGUACUUCAGCAACAGAGUUUGGAGAGCUCUGUUCUAGACCGUCUUAUACAGAAGUGGGCAAAAGGUAAGUUCCUGGCUCUUACAAACCUUCGUGUUAUGUUGUAUUGUGUUGAUGGUAUGUGUGUUGUUUUUUGCUUAAAUGAAAUUUUUAUUUAUUUAGAAUACUUGAAUUAAGUUCCCAAUUAGUGAAAAUCUAGUACUGUCUUGUAUGAUUUAU
Non-coding RNA from Pelobates cultripes (western spadefoot toad), 746 nucleotides. NCBI's taxonomy places the organism in Eukaryota, Metazoa, Chordata, Amphibia, Anura, Pelobatidae. The record is from the annotation of a GenBank genome assembly.